UACCUGCAGGAGUGGGGAGAGGAGCGACUUGAAGCCACGGGGAGAGAUGAAGACGAUAAGCCCAGCCCUUCUGACAGCCUCCCCGACGGGCAGUAGUGGGACAGAUGGGAAAUCCUGUGAGGUAAAGGAGUUUAAUUCCUACCCAACAAAGGAAGAAACGAAGGCCCAGACAGGUCACCUCACUCGCUCCAGUUCCCUCCACUGGGAAGGUCUGGAGUCUGGACCAUGCUCAGAAUGAUAAAGGCUCCUGUCCCUGUCUGCCCUUGACUUCCUCGGCCUCUUGACCGACCUUGGUGCCUCCCAGCAUGGCCCCACCCGGAGUUCUGUGCCUCCUGUUUCUAGGGAAUCUGUGAGGAUACAUUCUCAUUGCCGUGUGUUUGUGUCUUACCACACUUGAUCCAAACAGAUCCAAAUCCAGUUUAUUCUAAACCAGUAGUAAAGUCUCCUCAGACCCCAAGAGGUAGGCAGGGUCUGUUAGAUCCUCAUUUUACAAGAGGAAACCGAGGUCCCAUGGGAGGUUAUGAACGUCACUUAUGGUCCCACUGCCAGUAAAUAUCUGCUGGGCUGUGGGGUCUGGGCCUCUGCACGGUGCCACUUCCCCAUGCAGAGACAGCAGUCGACAGGCCUCUGACCCAUGUUACAGCCCCAGUUCCCUUUACUGGGUCUUCCCGCUGCACAGGGAGGAGAUAAGGACAGACCGGCUUGUGCAGAUUUGGGUCCCUGUUACCCGACUUGGCGCAGGAGGCAGUCAGGGCUGACUGGUGUGGAUGGAGAGAAGCAGAGAAGCCUUUGUCUUUACAGGGCGGGGAUCUGGCAAUAAGGAUCCCUGUGACUUUCCUGACAUUAUGCGUUGUUUUCUGUGUUGCCUCGUUCUGUCCCCACUCAGACCCUUUAAGGGAAGUGGCUGUUUCCCCCAUUUUGCCAAUGAGAAAACAGGCUGGGGGAAGGGAGGCAUUUGCCACACCGCCUGCCUUCUGUGGAGUCGGCCUCUGUCACAGUCCCAGGUUUCGUGUGUUCUGUGACCGAGACUUCCUUACCUUGUCAGCCGCCUCCUCACGGCCCCUCGCUGCAUUCCAGCUCCUGAUCAACCCGACACACACGCCAACUGAGCUUCUAGAAGAGUGAGAGCAGACAGCAAAGUCCUGGGGGGCAGGGGCUGACCCCCAGCCUUGCUGCGCUCCCAGGCGGGGAGCAGAGAGGGGAUGCUCACAGAGGAGACCGUUGUCACCCUUCCCCUCAGAGCAGUGGAGGGCGGUACAUGUUGAACAAACAGCCGUCCAGAGAAGAAGCCCGGAUUCGUAGCAUUUGCCAAUUUCAUGGUGUCAAAACUCCCACAGUAUGGAGUUAACUACUACCAUGUGGACGGAAGGUUUGUAUCCCCCAAAGGUAUGUGUUGAAGCCCUAGCCCCACAGUGUGGCUGCAUUCAGAGAGGGCGCCCCAAGGACAUAAUGAAGGUUAAAGGAAUCAUGGCGAUGGGCUCAGGGUCCUCAGAGAAGGUGACAGCGGAGUGCUCCUUUCUCUUUCUCUCUCCAAGUGCACAGUCUGCGGGAAGGCCUCGUGAACACAGAGCAAGAUGGCACCGCCUACACGCCACAGGCCAUGACCUCAGAAUGCAGCCUACCUUGCCAGCAUCUUGACCUUGGACUUCCUGGACUCCAGAAUCGAGAGAAAUUCCUGAUACGUAAGCUGCCAGGUCUGUAGCAUCUCAUUUUGGCAGCCGGAGCGGACGACUCCCCCUCCAGGGUGAAGUCACUGAAUUUGAGGUCAGAAGAAACGCACAACAGCAGGUGUUUCUACCUCAUUCCUGCUGUACAGACACAAGAGCAUGAAUGACCUCAAGAGCGUAGACCGUAGUAGUAUGUGGUAGAAUAAGUAUGGAGGAAAGACGUUAGCAGGGAGGGAUGAGCUUCCUUCUUUUUAAACAUAAUUUAUUUGUGAGUUUGUAUUUAAUUUUUUUGAUUAUCAUUUUUGUGGUGAUAAUACAUACCUAACAAAAAAAUUUACCAUUUGAGCCAUUUUUAAGUAGACCGCUCAGUGGCAUUAAGCUCAUUUACAGAGUUGUGCACACACUUAACUUUUAGGAAUGCCUGUGUUCCAUAAGGGCCGCACAACAUUCCCCAGAAUGUCCCAGUCAGCUCCAGGACCCUUCUCUCUGUGGGCUUCCGGUGGUCAUCAGGGAAUUUAGGAGAAAAAGCCACGAGGUGAUUCUGUUUCUGUGCAUUUCACAGAAUUCUAACUGAACAUGAAUUACGGUGGCCACGUGGGUCCUCUUCGUCUUUUUUCCCUGCCUUUAUCUGUAAAAGGGUUUUAGGAAUCCGAGCUGAGCGUGGGCUGGGAAGGGAACUGGCCGAUGCAUCUGAGCUGAGGUGGGGGCUGCAGUCCCCGUCAGCCCCUGAACUUCGUGUCGCUGUGGUCCCCGCCGGCCGUGUUUAUGCGUUUUGGGUUUGCAACAGCAGAUGGGUGUUCCCUCACCAUUCUGGAGGCCGGAGGUCCACACUCAAGGUGUCAGCGGGGUCGUGUCCCCUCUGAAGGCUCUGGGGAGGGUCCUUCCCGCCUCUGCCAGCUGCUGGAGCUCACAGGGUCUCCGGGGUCCUUGGGGGUUGGCCCCGGGCAGUCCCUGCCUCCCCCGUCUGCCUUUCAGCGGGGAGACGGGUGACCCCGAACUACCAGGUCAGACGCGGAGUGUGUCAGGGCUGGGGGCGGUCGCCAGAUGGUGAGCUCCUGUGAGGAAGUGGUUUACAAACGUUUACACAACACAAGCGUGUGCUGCGGGUGAGACCAAGGAAGACCGAGAAAGAGGGAGCUCGCAUCUGAGCGGGGUGCAUGGGGGCGGCGACCGCCGCCAGGACCCCAGGGGGAAGGGGCUUCUGCACUCCGUCCCCAGCACUCGGUCCGUCACCGGACUUGAUGAACUUGCGGUCUCUGGAGAAAAGGAAUUAUUCGGUCCGAGCCAAAGGCAGUGUGUCUCGGUACAAACCGGAGAAAGUCGUUUCUGAAGGCGGAGAGGGGGAGCAUCCCCGCUGGCGGGAUGGGGCGCUGCCUGAUGCAGGACCGGCUGUGGUCAGGUUCCCUGUGCGCCGGGUCACCUUCCUUGUGGAUGGUGGGUUUGCGCCUAUCAGCUGUGUGAGACCCGGGUCAGAGCACAACCACAGCCCCAUGCCUUAGGGCGACUAUUUAAGUUAUCAUAAUCUGCCAAAUAAAAUCCCUCUGCCCUGAGGAGUCUACCUUCCUAAUAACACAAAGUUGAGAAAUGUGUUUUUACACAAAUAAAAAUUAGCAAAACAAAGACAACUUUAGUGAUUAUUAUUA
This is a long non-coding RNA of Mustela lutreola (European mink), 3310 nucleotides long. RefSeq lists it as uncharacterized. The record is from RefSeq and is a predicted model, not a curated record. The transcript has 3 exons. Lineage: Eukaryota; Metazoa; Chordata; Mammalia; Carnivora; Mustelidae.